This 457-nucleotide ribosomal RNA is filed under the name gut metagenome. RNAcentral's name for it is "bacterial SSU rRNA". It matches the Rfam family "Bacterial small subunit ribosomal RNA", at positions 8 to 448 of the family's 1533-position model. The record is from RNAcentral.
AGAGUUUGAUCCUGGCUCAGGAUGAACGCUGGCGGCGUGCUUAAUACAUGCAAGUCGAGCGAAGCGCUUAGCAAGAUUUCUUCGGGAUGAAAGUUAAGUGACUGAGCGGCGGACGGGUGAGUAACGCGUGGGUAACCUGCCUUAUACAGGGGGAUAACAGCUAGAAAUGACUGCUAAUACCGCAUAAGCGCACAGGAUCGCAUGGUCUGGUGUGAAAAACUCCGGUGGUAUAAGAUGGACCCGCGUCUGAUUAGCUAGUUGGUGGGGUAACGGCUACCAAGGCGACGAUCAGUAGCCGGCCUGAGAGGGUGGACGGCCACAUUGGGACUGAGACACGGCCCAGACUCCUACGGGAGGCAGCAGUAGGGAAUAUUGCACAAUGGGGGAAACCCUGAUGCAGCGACGCCGCGUGAAGGAAGAAGUAUCUCGGUAUGUAAACUUCUAUCAGCAGGGAAGA